GAUGAUAGCCCCUGUGGUAAAAAAAUUCGGAUUUAAACCCCUGUGAUCUAAGUCUGUUAGGAUUUAAACCCCUGUGGUCUAAGUCUGUUAGGAUUUAUGCCCUUCUGUUAAAUAAUGUUGACGUGGCUGCCACAUAUAUGCCACGUGGCUGCCAAAUGUCUGCCACGUGGCAAAAAUAAUAAAUUUUAAUUUUUUUUAAAAACCUGAAUUUUUUACAAAAAAAAAAAAAAAAAAAAAAAAAAAAAA
RNAcentral lists this long non-coding RNA (246 nucleotides) under Malus domestica (apple). RNAcentral describes it as "long non-coding RNA (MDOM_LNC012115)". Lineage: Eukaryota; Viridiplantae; Streptophyta; Magnoliopsida; Rosales; Rosaceae. The record is from RNAcentral.